CUGGCCCCGAGAUUGGGAGGGGGAUGGGCAGCGCUGGAGAAUAACGCCCUGGAGACAGGGCAGCGCAGCCCCAGACUCCCUGGAAAACCCAGCAGUCUGGAAAAGCUGGGUUUGGACUCACCCCUCUUUGAAGAGUUCUCAGGAAGUUUGGGGGAGGGGCGAGCCGCGCACCAGUUCUACCGGCAUCGGGCGCUGAGGGUGAGAAGGGACCACAAGCAGCAGCAGGUCUCAGUGGUUGUCAUAUUCCUGCUCACCGGUGGGCUCCGGGCACGCCCGGCAGGGUCCUGGGGGCGCAGGCAAGGGGACGUAGGCAGAGUGCUCGGGCCAGCAUGGAGGGACUGGUCUUCUUUAACGCCCUGGCCACUCGGCUGCUGUUCCUGCUGCACUCGCUGGUCGGGGUCUGGCGAGUGACCGAGGUGAAGAAGGAGCCGCGGUACUGGCUGCUUGCGCUGCUCAACCUCUUGCUCUUCCUGGAGACUGCGCUCACUCUCAAGUUCAAGCGCGGCAGAGGCUACAAAUGGUUUUCACCAGCCAUAUUUUUAUAUUUGAUUAGCAUCGUUCCUUCAUUAUGGCUUCUUGAAUUGCACCAUGAGACCCAGUAUUGCAGUAUCCAGGCUGAAGGAACAUCACAGAAUACCAGCAGAAAAGAAGACUUCAAUCAAACAUUGACUUCCAAUGAACAAACCAGUAGAGCUGAUGAUCUCAUUG
This 708-nucleotide long non-coding RNA is filed under the name Pan troglodytes (chimpanzee). RNAcentral describes it as "long non-coding RNA NONPTRT002187". The record is from RNAcentral. Lineage: Eukaryota; Metazoa; Chordata; Mammalia; Primates; Hominidae.